GAUGAACGCUGGCGGCGUGCCUAAUACAUGCAAGUCGAGCGAACAGACGAGGAGCUUGCUCCUCUGACGUUAGCGGCGGACGGGUGAGUAACACGUGGAUAACCUACCUAUAAGACUGGGAUAACUUCGGGAAACCGGAGCUAAUACCGGAUAAUAUAUUUAACCGCAUGGUUCAAUAGUGAAAGACGGUCUUGCUGUCACUUAUAGAUGGCUCCGCGCCGCAUUAGCUAGUUGGUAAGGUAACGGCUUACCAAGGCAACGAUGCGUAGCCGACCUGAGAGGGUGAUCGGCCACACUGGAACUGAGACACGGUCCAGACUCCUACGGGAGGCAGCAGUAGGGAAUCUUCCGCAAUGGGCGAAAGCCUGACGGAGCAACGCCGCGUGAGUGAUGAAGGUCUUCGGAUCGUAAAACUCUGUUAUUAGGGAAGAACAAAUGUGUAAGUAACUAUGCACGUCUUGACGGUACCUAAUCAGAAAGCCACGGCUAACUACGUGCCAGCCGCCGCCGUAA
This 513-nucleotide ribosomal RNA is filed under the name uncultured bacterium. RNAcentral's name for it is "partial 16S ribosomal RNA". It matches the Rfam family "Bacterial small subunit ribosomal RNA", at positions 28 to 523 of the family's 1533-position model. The record is from RNAcentral.